This 397-nucleotide ribosomal RNA is filed under the name uncultured bacterium. RNAcentral describes it as "partial 16S ribosomal RNA". It matches the Rfam family "Bacterial small subunit ribosomal RNA", at positions 523 to 918 of the family's 1533-position model. The record is from RNAcentral.
AUACGAAGGGUGCAAGCGUUACUCGGAAUUACUGGGCGUAAAGCGUGCGUAGGUGGUUGUUUAAGUCUGUCGUGAAAGCCCUGGGCUCAACCUGGGAAUGGCGAUGGAAACUGGGCGACUAGAGUGUGGCAGAGGGUAGUGGAAUUCCUGGUGUAGCAGUGAAAUGCGUAGAGAUCAGGAGGAACAUCCGUGGCGAAGGCGACUGCCUGGGCCAACACUGACACUGAGGCACGAAAGCGUGGGGAGCAAACAGGAUUAGAUACCCUGGUAGUCCACGCCCUAAACGAUGCGAACUGGAUGUUGGGUGCAAUUUGGCGCGCAGUAUCGAAGCUAACGCGUUAAGUUCGCCGCCUGGGGAGUACGGUCGCAAGACUGAAACUCAAAGGAAUUGACGGGG